Molecule: ribosomal RNA, 468 nt
Filed under: uncultured bacterium
Lineage: Bacteria
Description: partial 16S ribosomal RNA
Rfam family: Bacterial small subunit ribosomal RNA
Source: RNAcentral
GACGAACGCUGGCGGCGUGCUUAACACAUGCGAGUCGAACGGAAAGGCCCUGCUUUCGUGGGGUGCUCGAGUGGCGAACGGGUAAGUAACAGGUGAGUAACCUGCCCUUGACUUUGGGAUGACUUCAGGAAACUGGGGCUAAUACCGGAUAGGAGCACCUGCUGCAUGGUGGGGGUUGGAAAGUUUCGGCGGUUGGGGAUGGACUCGGGGCUUAUCAGCUUGUUGGUGGGGUGGUGGCUUACCAAGGCUUUGACGGGUAGCCGGCCUGAGAGGGUGACCGGCCACAUUGGGACUGGGGUACCGCCCGGAGUCCUACGGGCGGCAGCAGUGGGGAAUAUUGCACGAAGGGCGGAGGCCGGAUGCAGCAACUCCGCGUGCGGGAUGACGGCCUUCGGGUUGUAAACCGCUUUCGCCUGUGACGAAGCGUGAGUGACGAUAAUGGGUAAAGAAGCACCGGCUAACUACGUG